UAUUUAUUUUUUGUAUAUGUAGGUACUAGUUGAAAGUAACAGCAACGAUGAAAAAAGUGCACACAACAUUGAAAUAUCCAGUUCACUACUAGCUCAAAUCCUGCGACAUAUCACUUGCUAGUAGCCCAGUCUAGUUUAACUUUGCCCAAUCAAGAAUCAUCUCCUGAAUCAGGCAUACUGGCAACACUGGUUCAUUUGAUGAUGUAAGUUUUUAAACUGGUAUUUUAGAUUUAUAUAGCCUCUAUAAAAUCAGGAUGAAAGUCAUGCAUGAAUUGCUUAUCAAUACACAAAGGACAUUUCAAGUUCCAGAUGAACAAAAUAUUAUUAAAUUAAAGCUUUGAUGAGUGUUCUGCAACUAUGUUUCAACUUUAAAAUACUCUCAUCCUCGUUUGACCCAUAAUUAUUUGUUGAUUUUACUCGAUACUAAAUAGUGAAACAUCGAAUCCAGAGAAAAUCUUUAUAUGCAGAACCCACUGUAAUUCCGAGCUGUAAUCACAUAAUUAUAUAAAAGUCGUUUCAGUAGCAGCAAAAGCCAAACUAAACACCAAUCUAGGAUUAAUAGGUUUAGCUUUUGGGCCGAGAAUAAUACACGAUUGACAAUUUUGUGGUUGAUUAAUUAAUUAAUAGUAUACUGUAUAUUGAUGUUGUUGUAUACAGGACAUCUGACUUACAUGUCAAAUUAAUAGUCGAAUCUAUGAUUAUAUUGAGCAUGGCAGAUUUGACAUUUGAAACAUUGUUGAUGUUAAUAACCCAUUGAGUCGCAUUGCGCCCUGAUGCACACUAAGUAUUUAUUAUUUUGCUCUGGCUAUCUAACGCUAGCAAUUUUACUCAUCAAGGGGAGAGCACUGGCGGUUAAUGUGUUAACUAGCCUAUCUGCCCAUGUGUACAUAGUUAACCCAUUGAGUCGCAUUGUGCCCUAAUGCGGCCUAAUUUAUUAUUUUACUCUGUCUAUCGCAGGACAAUAUUAAGGGCAGAGCGCUGGCGCUUAAUGUGUUAACUAGCCUAUCUGCCCAUGUGUGUUGUUAACACAUUGAGUUGCAUUGUGCCCUAAUUUAUUAUUUUACUCUGUCUAAUGCCAGAUGAUUUCACUCAUUAAGGGGACAGCACUGGUGCUUAAUGGGGUUAACUGGCCUAUCUGCCCAUGUGUGUUGUUAACACAUUGAGUCGCAUUCCGCCCUAAUUUAUUUUUUUUACUCUGUCUUGAGAGGAGAACGCUGGUGCUUAAUGGGGUUAAUAUUGAAAAUAUAGAUCAACAUUGGUCAAAACGCAUGACUUGUGCAAUCAUUUCUGUAAUAAUUAAGAUAUUAAUUAAAAUACCAAAUAUAAUGCCUUAUGGCAAAUAGGGAGAUGCUAUGUAUGUCCAUUGAAAUUUAGUGGAUUUGUUGUAGUACAUCAAAUAAAUGCUAGCCAUAAACAUAUUCAAGUCAAUCGAAGAGAAUGUAGAAUUGCACUUUACAUAAAAUUCCCUAGUUAUUGUACAUUAAUGAAAAAGCAUUUGAAAUGGAAAUAUAUUGUUUUAAUUUUAUUUCUAUGGUUUGUACUAUGAUAUACAUGGGCUAUACACUCUUUGGGAACCCACAGGGCUGUUGGCAGAGCAUUUCCAUGAUCUGGAACUUCAGUCCUAAACACGAUGUGUGGGUGCGAAGAUGUUGUGUAGGAACAGAACUGUACAGAUUAGAAAUAUGAUUACUGAUAUUUUCCAAAGAAAAACUAUUAAUAUAUAGAAGAGGAAAGAAAGAGGCAAUUUGAAAUUUAAAGAUGGUAGGCUUAUUAAGGAUGAGAUACAGAGAAAAACAGUAAUGCAGAACUACAUUCUCUUAAAUUGUCAAAAUUAAACGCUACCAAUCUUGGUCUCGUUUCAAACUUGAAUAACAAAAAGUCUAAAAAUAUAAAAACUAUAAGAACAGAUCAGCUAAGUCCAGUUAUAAAAUUAAAUGACCAAGAUAUAAUGAAUACCACUAGUGACAUGAGUAUAUCCAAUUAAUAUUUAACUAGAAAUAAAUGCAUGCAGCAACCCCUAGCCUAUAUUUUCCAAACAUUGAUUUAACGUGAACUAUUAGCAAUUGGCCAGCACUGAACGCAGGCUCACGUUGUGUCAAGUGUUGUCAAGGCAACAUAAUGUCACAUUAUAUUUUAAUUUUUUUUUAAUAAUUUUGCAAGUGUUCAUACCACAGAAUCUACCAUACAUAAUUUUAAACAAAUAGAUAGGUGAAGUAAUUCAAACAAAAUGAUUUUGAACUUUAUUACUCUACUCUGUCGAACGCCUAUUCUACUCGUAAAGGGGAGAGCCCUGGUGCUUAAUGGGUUAAGUAAGAUCGUAUAGUUAUAUGUAUAUCAUGUAUUAUGUUUUUAUGUAGUCUGCCUGAAUCACUUGUACCAGGCUAUGGAAAUUCAUGUUUCCAAUUUUGUAUUUAUUUUUCUUAUGAUGCAGUAUACUGUAAAUUUGAAUAAUAUUUGUGUGCUUAUAGUGAGCUUAUUUUUAGGAGAGUUUGUUGCGAGGCAGCAUAUAUUUUGAUUUUUCAAAAUAUUACUGUAUAUUGGUAUGUUAUACUUAAUAUUAGAAUGUUAGGGUUUGGAAUCCAAGUGAGAAUAUAUACAUUUUAAGACCUAACCAGGAACAACUGCGAAAAAUGCAGCACAAGGUCCUCUGGUAGGAAUCAAACCUACGGCCCUGCGAUUCCGGUGCAGCGCUCUAACCAACUGAGCUACAGAGGCCAGCCGUUAAGCUGUAACCGUAAGUUCAUGUAUAUAUAGGUAAUCAGGUGUGCGGGUUGUGAUAAGGUGGACUUCAUGACUUAGAUUCUGCACUUCACUUGGUGGAAUUAAUAUUAGAAUGAAUCCAAGUGAGAAUAUAUACAUUUUAAGACCUAACCAGGAACAACUGCGAAAAAUGCAGCACAAGGUCCUCUGGUAGGAAUCGAACCUACGGCCCUGCGAUUCCGGUGCAGCGCUCUGAGCUACAGAGGCCAGCUGUUAAGCUGUAACCGUAAGUUUAUGUAUAUAUAGGUAAUCGGGUGUGCGGGUUGUGAUAAGGUGGACUUCAUCAUGAUUCUAAUAUUAAUUCCACCAAGUGAAGUGCAGAAUCUAAGUCAUGUUAUACUUAAUGCUUUUGGAAGAGUUAUAGUCGGGUGUGACAUACUUUUUCAGGUAUUUUGUGUCUGAUGUAUGUAAGAGCUUUAUUAUUGGGUUUCUUGGUGAGACCUUAUAUUUAUGUGUCCUAUAACCCCCUGUAAUUGCGGAUUAUUGCAUACAUUCUAAUUGGUUUUUUUUUGUAGGAGUCUGAAGAUGCAAAUGAUACAAUUUCAAACUUAUCACAACCCAUAUUGUGGUCGUUGGCAUCGAACUUACUAGAAUACGACUAGAAACUGUCAAUCAUACGUUAUCGAGGGAAAGGAUGAAAGUUCCAUAACAAGCAACAGUUGUUUUGAUGCAAUUAUCGCCUUAUUGGCAAGUUUUUACAUCUUCAAUAUUGAGUACUGCCACACGAAGAGCAUCUUGUCUGCUUUGCAGACUAUAGUAGUGCAUGGGCAAGACAGAAAAUGGCAUAUACAACUGCCAGUGAGGGUCACAGCCCUCUUCAAUGACUUGUCAUGACUCAUGAGUAUUAGUACUACAGUAAUUUUACACUUUUUGAGAGUUAUGUUGACAUAUGCUAACCCAAGUUAAUGUUAUUGAUGGAAUGUGUGUAUUGUCUCACAUCUCACCGAACUGUGGUAAUGUAUUAGAAAUUAUUCGUAUUGCGUUCAUGUUAACAACCGCGCCUGCUAUUGCUAUCACAAGUUGAUUGCUCUUUAAAAUUAGAAUUGUAAACUUUCGGAGCCAUAUGGCAUAUAUGUACGAAUCUUUUGAUGGUUCCCACAUUUCGGUGAGAUCCAUAAUACUGACUACUGUGCAUGUAUAUUGUAAUUUUAGUUAUAGUAUUGUGUUUAUAAUACAGAAAUUGGAACAUUUAUCUCAACUUAUAUUGCAAUAAUUCAUUCCAAUCUUGGUCUGUUGGAGAAAUUGUAAUAAUUUAAUCAAGACCAAAUAAACCCCAAUAUUUUUGCCUGAUUCAUUAUAUACAUGUAGAAUACGUCUACAUGCAAGAGUGCAACCAAAUCCACAUGACUUUAAAUGCUAUAUAAAACGGCACCACCAAAAAGCUAUAUCAGCUCGAUCGGUUCUAAAGCACCUCUUCAUUGGGGCUGAGACUGCUCUCCUCUGAAAGGGCCAGAACAGCUCCGGUUAACAAAGUAGGGGUUAAAUUGGCUUUUCUUUUGGAUCUAUAAUGGCUCUGAAAUUGGACCAAAU
Molecule: long non-coding RNA, 4290 nt
Filed under: Paramuricea clavata
Lineage: Eukaryota; Metazoa; Cnidaria; Anthozoa; Malacalcyonacea; Plexauridae
Source: RNAcentral